This 388-nucleotide ribosomal RNA is filed under the name uncultured bacterium. Its description in RNAcentral is "bacterial SSU rRNA". It matches the Rfam family "Bacterial small subunit ribosomal RNA", at positions 29 to 418 of the family's 1533-position model. The record is from RNAcentral.
AUUGAACGCUGGCGGCAUGCCUUACACAUGCAAGUCGAACGGUAACGCGGGGGCAACCCUGGCGACGAGUGGCGAACGGGUGAGUAAUACAUCGGAACGUACCCAGUAGUGGGGGAUAGCUCGGCGAAAGCCGGAUUAAUACCGCAUACGACCUAUGGGUGAAAGCGGGGGAUCGCAAGACCUCGCGCUAUUGGAGCGGCCGAUGUCGGAUUAGCUAGUUGGUGAGGUAAAGGCNCACCAAGGCUACGAUCCGUAGCUGGUCUGAGAGGACGACCAGCCACACUGGGACUGAGACACGGCCCAGACUCCUACGGGAGGCAGCAGUGGGGAAUUUUGGACAAUGGGCGAAAGCCUGAUCCAGCCAUGCCGCGUGUGUGAAGAAGGCCUU